This 254-nucleotide ribosomal RNA is filed under the name uncultured bacterium. RNAcentral describes it as "partial 16S ribosomal RNA". It matches the Rfam family "Bacterial small subunit ribosomal RNA", at positions 524 to 776 of the family's 1533-position model. The record is from RNAcentral.
UACAGAGGUCUCAACCGUUGUUCGGAUUCAUUGGGCGUAAAGGGUGCGUAGGCGGUCGCGCAAGUCGGAUGUGAAAUCUCAGGGCUCAACCCUGAAACUGCAUUCGAUACUGCGUGGCUAGAGUGCUGGAGAGGAGACUGGAAUUUACGGUGUAGCAGUGAAAUGCGUAGAUAUCGUAAGGAAGACCAGUGGCGAAGGCGAGUCUCUGGACAGCAACUGACGCUGGAGGCACGAAGGCCAGGGGAGCAAACAGG